AUGGGGGCACCAGAGGCAAAGGCCGCAGGUGCUGCUGCGAGACUGUGGUCAGGAACCCACCCUGGCCAGGUUCUGCAGAGGCAGUCGGAGGACACAGUGAUCUGGGGGCUGGGGAGCAGGCCCGGGGAGCAGCGAGGAUGGCCGCUGGGUGGCAUGGGUGUCCCUCACCACUGCACACCGUGGGGCCCUGGGUGUCCACAACCACUGCACACACCGUGGCAUCCUGCGUGUCCCUCACCACUGUGCAUACUGUGGGGCCCUGGGUGUCCACAACCACUGCGCACACCGUGGGGCCCUGGGUGUCCCUCACCACUAUGCACACCGUGGGGUCCUGCGUGUCCCUCACCACUGCGCACACUGUGGGGUCCUGCGUGUCCCUCACCACUGUGCACACCGUGGGACCCUGGGUGUCCCUCACCACUGCACACCAUGGGGCCCUGGGUGUCCACAACCACUGCGCACACCGUGGGGCCCUUGGGUGUCCCUCACCACUGCGCACACCGUGGGGUCCUGCGUGUCCCUCACCACUGUGCACACCGUGGGACCCUGGGUGUUCCUCACCACUGCGCACACCGUGGGGCCCUUGGUGACCACAACCACUGCGCACACUGUGGGGCCCUUGGGUGUCCCUCACCACUGCGCACACUGUGGGGUCCUGCGUGUCCCUCACCACUGUCACACCAUGGCGCCCUGGUGUCCGUCACCUAUCUGGCUUCUCUGGAAAUGGGGCCAGACUGCCCACGCUCCUCCCUGAGCCCUCUCCCCUGCCUCGCCCUUAUCCUCCAUGCCCUGGCAGUCUGCUGCCUUUGCUCUGUCCGACCUUGGAGUGUCCUUGGCCUGGGAGGUCUUCCUUUGGGCUCCUCUCAUUCCUUCUUUCCUUUCCUUGGCUUUACAGUCCAACUGCCUGUCAGACUCUGCUGGCUCCCGGGAUCCAGGAUGUUUCAGUCUCCUGCACCUGGUCCAUGCCUCAGGUCCUGUCCUGGGGGCUCAGGGAGGAGUGUGGGCAGUCUGGCCCCAUUUCCAGAGAAGCCAGAUAGGUGA
This 1041-nucleotide long non-coding RNA is filed under the name Oryctolagus cuniculus (rabbit). RNAcentral describes it as "lncRNA (ENSOCUG00000029797.1)". Lineage: Eukaryota; Metazoa; Chordata; Mammalia; Lagomorpha; Leporidae. The record is from RNAcentral.